RNAcentral lists this transfer RNA (94 nucleotides) under Chloroflexota bacterium. Its description in RNAcentral is "Chloroflexi bacterium tRNA-Sec". It matches the Rfam family "Selenocysteine transfer RNA". Lineage: Bacteria; Bacillati; Chloroflexota. The record is from RNAcentral.
GGGGAUGGAUUGGCCCCGGUGGGCUGCGCGGUCUUCAAAACCGUUGGGGGGUUGCGGAGCAAGCCCCGGUGAGUUCGACUCUCAUGCAUCCCCG